ACGCACGCUGGCGGCAUGCCUAACACAUGCAAGUCGCACGAGACCUUCGGGUCUAGUGGCGCACGGGUGCGUCACGCGUGGGAACCUGCCCUUAGGUUCGGAAUAACUCCCCGAAAGGGGUGCUAAUACCGGAUAAUGUCUUCGGACCAAAGAUUUAUCGCCUUUGGAUGGGCCCGCGUUGGAUUAGCUAGUUGGUAGGGUAAAAGCCUACCAAGGCGACGAUCCAUAGCUGGUCUGAGAGGAUGAUCAGCCACACUGGGACUGAGACACGGCCCAGACUCCUACGGGAGGCAGCAGUGGGGAAUAUUGGACAAUGGGCGAAAGGCUGAUCCAGCAAUGCCGCGUGAGUGAUGAAGGCCUUAGGGUUGUAAAGCUCUUUUACCCGGGAUGAUAAUGACAGUACCGGGAGAAUAAGCUCCGGCUAACUCCGUG
RNAcentral lists this ribosomal RNA (432 nucleotides) under uncultured bacterium. Its description in RNAcentral is "partial 16S ribosomal RNA". It matches the Rfam family "Bacterial small subunit ribosomal RNA", at positions 29 to 507 of the family's 1533-position model. The record is from RNAcentral.